Molecule: long non-coding RNA, 1183 nt
Filed under: Homo sapiens (human)
Lineage: Eukaryota; Metazoa; Chordata; Mammalia; Primates; Hominidae
Description: non-protein coding lnc-CFI-1:5
Source: RNAcentral
AGAACUAAAGCACCUUGCAAGGAAUGAAGUUGGUUCUUGAAGUCCGUGCUGACUGGCUGGGCGCAUUUGCGCAUUUGCUUCUCUGGCUGCAAAAUGGCCCGCAACAGCACUCACUAAUUUGUUGCUAACUUCAGGAACUGUGCGGACAGGUCUCUGAGGCUUCUGAGCCGCGCUAUGUCCAGUAGAUCUGGGCGCCUCAGAACCUGUCACAGCCGACGGAAGCGUUUAUCUGAGUUUCUUGUUUCUUCCCAACCUUUUGAUUUUCGCACCAUUACGCGCUCAACUAUGCCUCUUCUUUUGUCCUAUGGUCUCAACUAAUUAAAGGAAGAAAAGCAAUGCAUCCCUUUAUAUUUGACAUCAGCUUCCCCCACAUUCUCCAAAGCUUCUCUCACAAAUAAAGCCAGGUGCUCAGGCUGAGAAGAUUCAAGGAAAGGGUUCCUCACGUAGUUAUACAGUUGUGUUCCAGGGGAAGGAAAAUAUUGUUCGGUUUUGUUCUGCAAUUCCCCACGGUGGUUUUCGGUAAGACUUGAGACUUCCUUAUUCUAAAGUCCAAGCAGCAGUGGAAACAUUUCAAGAUCCCUUUUUGCAAUAUAACUUUUCCAAAGAUUCAAUAUUUAUUUAAACCCAAAAAUCUUGUCACUCGAAGUAAAACGAUUUUCUCCAGGGCCUGAAGAUCCUUGUUCAACUAGUUCAUGUGAUGAAAAUGUCUGUUAAGUAGGUGAUAUGGUUUGGAUGUUUGUUCCCUCCAAAUCUCAUGCUGAAAUUUGAUUCCCAGUGUCGUAGAUGGGACCUCGUGGGAGGUGAUUGGAUCAUGGGGGCAGAAUUCUCAUGAAUGGCUUAGCACCAUCCCCUUGGUGAUAAGUGAGUUUUCACUCAGUUCACUUGAGAUGUGGUUGUUUUAAGAGUCUGUGACCUCUUCUAUUUCUCUCUUGCUCCCACUCUUGCCAUGUGACAUGCUGGCUCCCCAUCACCUUCCGCCAUGAUUGUAAGCUUCUAGAGACCUCACCAGAAACUGAUGCCAGCACCAUGCUUCCUGUAAAGCCUCCAGAACCAUAAGCCAAUUAAACCUCUUUCUUUAUAAAUUACCUAGCCUUGGGCAUUUCUUUACAGCAAUGCAAAAAAAAACAAAAAUGCUGGUUUCCACAGCCAUUCUUUAUCUUCAAAGAAUUUGGUAAAAUCUGGG